RNAcentral lists this ribosomal RNA (543 nucleotides) under uncultured bacterium. RNAcentral's name for it is "bacterial SSU rRNA". It matches the Rfam family "Archaeal small subunit ribosomal RNA", at positions 724 to 1267 of the family's 1478-position model. The record is from RNAcentral.
AGAGAAUAGAUACCCCGGUAGUCCCAGCCGUAAACGAUGCUCGCUAGGUGUCAGGCAUGGCGCGACCGUGUCUGGUGCCGCAGGGAAGCCGUGAAGCGAGCCACCUGGGAAGUACGGCCGCAAGGCUGAAACUUAAAGGAAUUGGCGGGGAGCACAACAACGGGUGGAGCCUGCGGUUUAAUUGGACUCAACGCCGGACAACUCACCGGGGGCGACAGCAAUAUGUAGGCCAGGCUGAAGACCUUGCCUGAAUCGCUGAGAGGAGGUGCAUGGCCGUCGCCAGUUCGUACUGUGAAGCAUCCUGUUAAGUCAGGCAACGAGCGAGACCCGUGCCCACUGUUACCAGCAUGUCCUCCGGGACGAUGGGUACUCUGUGGGGACCGCCGAUGUUAAAUCGGAGGAAGGUGCGGGCCACGGUAGGUCAGUAUGCCCCGAAUCUCCCGGGCUACACGCGGGCUACAAUGGAUGGGACAAUGGGUCCCUCCCCUGAAAAGGGCUGGUAAUCUCACAAACCCAUUCGUAGUUCGGAUCGAGGGCUGUAAC